AAGAUCCAACAAAAGACAAAACGAAAAUGAGAGUGAUGUGUAUAAU
RNAcentral lists this non-coding RNA (46 nucleotides) under Trypanosoma vivax. Lineage: Eukaryota; Euglenozoa; Kinetoplastea; Trypanosomatida; Trypanosomatidae. The record is from RNAcentral.